UGUUCGGAACCGGCAGGUAGCUGGUAGGAAUAAGAUCCAGGAUCACUGGCUUCCCACUCCCCACCAAAUUGUGAGUCAGUUGAGUCCUAAUAGAUCAGUAUACACAGUCGUUCCAGUGGAUGGGUCGCGUGCCCCCAAGAAUGUCAACAGAGGGGAGCUUCGGCUUUGUGCCCCAGGACUAAACGAUACAGAAGUCAGGCCCAUGCAAGAGCAAGAUGGAGAAAGCUGUGACGAAGAUUCUAGUCUAGGGAGUAUCGUAAUUGAAGCUCUGGAUGAAGAGGAGGAGGAGGAGGAGGAGUUAGCUGCCGUACAGGUGGAGCGGCACGAGGAUCCCUGGGAACAGGCAGCCGAGAUGGAAAGAGGAGAUUCCCCCCCCUUGGCCAUGAGACGGGCAAAGCGCAGCACGGCAGGCAUGCAUUCAAACCCUUUUAAUUGGCCUAGGUCGUCUAUCCGCAAGGGGGAAGAGUAAGGUUAGCUGCGACCAGUGGGGACACUGAUUUUUCUUUGGGGGGGUAUGUGUGGCCAGGUGGAACCUUUCCAUUGGCCAGGUGUUUUGAGGCAGGGCAUAAAUACCUGUGACACCGGGCGGGGUCGAGGAAACAAACAUUUCCACCUUGUGGCGUUGGGUGCAGCAGUGUUGUCACUGUUGUCGGCCGUCCAGUUUCACUGACGGUAGUUGCUGUUAUGCCUGAGCCGGUGUUGAGCAGUAAGAAGCCAGACUGAGGUCCUGUUGCCCAGUGUGAAGUGUGUCUGUAAAGUAGUACACCGUACUGAGGAGUCGUGGAGCAAGUAGCCUGCUCCAGUCCACUGUGUCUAUUCAGACUGAGCUUGAGCACCUUUUGAG
Cololabis saira (Pacific saury) is the source of this 844-nucleotide long non-coding RNA. RefSeq lists it as uncharacterized. The record is from RefSeq and is a predicted model, not a curated record. The transcript has 3 exons. NCBI's taxonomy places the organism in Eukaryota, Metazoa, Chordata, Actinopteri, Beloniformes, Belonidae.